UCCCUGGUGGCUCAGACGGUAAAGCGUCUGCCUACAAUGCGGGAGACCCGGGUUUGAUUCCUGGGUCGGGAA
RNAcentral lists this transfer RNA (72 nucleotides) under Ovis aries (sheep). It matches the Rfam family "tRNA". From Rfam's summary of the family: Transfer RNA (tRNA) molecules are approximately 80 nucleotides in length. Their secondary structure includes four short double-helical elements and three loops (D, anti-codon, and T loops). Further hydrogen bonds mediate the characteristic L-shaped molecular structure. tRNAs have two regions of fundamental functional importance: the anti-codon, which is responsible for specific mRNA codon recognition, and the 3' end, to which the tRNAs corresponding amino acid is attached (by aminoacyl-tRNA synthetases). tRNAs cope with the degeneracy of the genetic code in two manners: having more than one tRNA (with a specific anti-codon) for a particular amino acid; and 'wobble' base-pairing, i.e. permitting non-standard base-pairing at the 3rd anti-codon position. The record is from Rfam by way of RNAcentral. Lineage: Eukaryota; Metazoa; Chordata; Mammalia; Artiodactyla; Bovidae.